UACGUAGGGGGCAAGCGUUAUCCGGAUUUAUUGGGCGUAAAGCGCGCGCAGGCGGUCCUUUAAGUCUGAUGUGAAAGCCCACGGCUCAACCGUGGAGGGUCAUUGGAAACUGGGGGACUUGAGUACAGAAGAGAAGAGUGGAAUUCCACGUGUAGCGGUGAAAUGCGUAGAGAUGUGGAGGAACACCAGUGGCGAAGGCGACUCUUUGGUCUGUAACUGACGCUGAGGCGCGAAAGCGUGGGGAGCAAACAGG
Molecule: ribosomal RNA, 253 nt
Filed under: uncultured bacterium
Lineage: Bacteria
Description: partial 16S ribosomal RNA
Rfam family: Bacterial small subunit ribosomal RNA
Source: RNAcentral